UACGGAGGGUGCAAGCGUUAAUCGGAAUUACUGGGCGUAAAGCGUGCGUAGGCGGUAAGUUAAGUCUGCUGUGAAAUCCCUGGGCUCAACCUGGGAAUGGCGGUGGAUACUGGCUUGCUGGAGUACGGUAGAGGAAGGUGGAAUUCCCGGUGUAGCGGUGAAAUGCGUAGAGAUCGGGAGGAACAUCAGUGGCGAAGGCGACCUUCUGGACCAGUACUGACGCUGAGGCACGAAAGCGUGGGGAGCAAACAGGGAUUAGAUACCCUGGUAGUCCACGCCCUAAACGAUGCGAACUGGAGGUUGGGUGCAACUUGGCACGCAGUCUCGAAGCUAACGCGUUAAGUUCGCCGCCUGGGGAGUACGGUCGCAAGACUGAAACUC
RNAcentral lists this ribosomal RNA (381 nucleotides) under uncultured bacterium. Its description in RNAcentral is "bacterial SSU rRNA". It matches the Rfam family "Bacterial small subunit ribosomal RNA", at positions 524 to 902 of the family's 1533-position model. The record is from RNAcentral.